RNAcentral lists this microRNA precursor (101 nucleotides) under Branchiostoma floridae (Florida lancelet). RNAcentral's name for it is "microRNA bfl-mir-71 precursor". Its record names the gene bfl-mir-71. The stretch from base 16 to 86 matches the Rfam family "mir-71 microRNA precursor family". Lineage: Eukaryota; Metazoa; Chordata; Leptocardii; Amphioxiformes; Branchiostomatidae. The record is from miRBase by way of RNAcentral.
GCUAUAGUUGCCACCACAUUGUGAAAGACAUGGGUAGUGAGAUUUGUAUCAUGAAUUUAUCCCAUUUCCCUGUCUUUCAACAAGGUGUUGGCAGUUUAGCA